Molecule: long non-coding RNA, 296 nt
Organism: Ipomoea nil (Japanese morning glory)
Lineage: Eukaryota; Viridiplantae; Streptophyta; Magnoliopsida; Solanales; Convolvulaceae
Exons: 2
Source: RefSeq, a predicted model, not a curated record
UAUAUAUAUAUAUAUAUAUAUAUAUAUUGAGAGAGAGAGAGAGAGAGAUGGUGAAAGCAACCAACGUUCUUUCUUUCUUCUCUGCGUAUAGUUAAUAUGGGAGAGAAGAAGCUACCUACAGACUACAGUGAUGUGAAACGGGUGGGGCAGUCAACUGGGGCCCCGAUACGUACUCGCCCCGACACUGUUUCCAUCAAAUCGGAUGAUCCGUCAUUUUCUUUGCAUUUAUGCAUAUACCACCUCCCUUUUAUUUUUUAUGGCAUAAAAUUCAUUCAAAUAAAAAAUGAUACUCCGUA